This 1442-nucleotide ribosomal RNA is filed under the name uncultured organism. Its description in RNAcentral is "SSU rRNA". It matches the Rfam family "Bacterial small subunit ribosomal RNA". The record is from RNAcentral.
UUUAGCUACAGGCUUAACACAUGCAAGUCGAGGGGCAGCAUGGUCUUAGCUUGCUAAGGCCGAUGGCGACCGGCGCACGGGUGAGUAACACGUAUCCAACCUGCCGUCUACUCUUGGACAGCCUUCUGAAAGGAAGAUUAAUACAAGAUGGCAUCAUGAGUCCGCAUGUUCACAUGAUUAAAGGUAUUCCGGUAGACGAUGGGGAUGCGUUCCAUUAGAUAGUAGGCGGGGUAACGGCCCACCUAGUCUUCGAUGGAUAGGGGUUCUGAGAGGAAGGUCCCCCACAUUGGAACUGAGACACGGUCCAAACUCCUACGGGAGGCAGCAGUGAGGAAUAUUGGUCAAUGGGCGAAAGCCUGAACCAGCCAAGUAGCGUGAAGGAUGACUGCCCUAUGGGUUGUAAACUUCUUUUAUAAAGGAAUAAAGUCGGGUAUGGAUACCCGUUUGCAUGUACUUUAUGAAUAAGGAUCGGCUAACUCCGUGCCAGCAGCCGCGGUAAUACGGAGGAUCCGAGCGUUAUCCGGAUUUAUUGGGUUUAAAGGGAGCGUAGAUGGAUGUUUAAGUCAGUUGUGAAAGUUUGCGGCUCAACCGUAAAAUUGCAGUUGAUACUGGAUAUCUUGAGUGCAGUUGAGGCAGGCGGAAUUCGUGGUGUAGCGGUGAAAUUGCUUAGAUAUCACGAAGAACUCCGAUUGCGAAGGCAGCCUGGUAAGCUGCAACUGACAUUGAGGCUCGAAAGUGUGGGUAUCAAACAGGAUUAGAUACCCUGGUAGUCCACACGGUAAACGAUGAAUACUCGCUGUUUGCGAUAUACUGCAAGCGGCCAAGCGAAAGCGUUAAGUAUUCCACCUGGGGAGUACGCCGGCAACGGUGAAACUCAAAGGAAUUGACGGGGGCCCGCACAAGCGGAGGAACAUGUGGUUUAAUUCGAUGAUACGCGAGGAACCUUACCCGGGCUUAAAUUGCAGAUGAAUUACGGUGAAAGCCGUAAGCCGCAAGGCAUCUGUGAAGGUGCUGCAUGGUUGUCGUCAGCUCGUGCCGUGAGGUGUCGGCUUAAGUGCCAUAACGAGCGCAACCCUUGUUGUCAGUUACUAACAGGUUCCGCUGAGGACUCUGACAAGACUGCCAUCGUAAGAUGUGAGGAAGGUGGGGAUGACGUCAAAUCAGCACGGCCCUUACGUCCGGGGCUACACACGUGUUACAAUGGGGGGUACAGAGGGUCGCUACCACGCGAGUGGAUGCCAAUCCCCAAAACCUCUCUCAGUUCGGACUGGAGUCUGCAACCCGACUCCACGAAGCUGGAUUCGCUAGUAAUCGCGCAUCAGCCACGGCGCGGUGAAUACGUUCCCGGGCCUUGUACACACCGCCCGUCAAGCCAUGGGAGCCGGGGGUACCUGAAGUGCGUAACCGCGAGGAGCGCCCUAGGGUAAAACUGGUGACUGGGG